Molecule: non-coding RNA, 101 nt
Filed under: Clunio marinus
Lineage: Eukaryota; Metazoa; Arthropoda; Insecta; Diptera; Chironomidae
Description: Eukaryotic large subunit ribosomal RNA
Rfam family: Eukaryotic large subunit ribosomal RNA
Source: Rfam by way of RNAcentral
UUGAAGUAUCUAGCGUGAGCUGAUAUGGAGCUUCCAUAAGCACAGAUCUUAGUGGUAGUAGCAAAUAUUCGAAUGAGAUCUUGGAUGGCUGAAGUGGAGAA